This is a long non-coding RNA of Triticum dicoccoides, 550 nucleotides long. RefSeq lists it as uncharacterized. Lineage: Eukaryota; Viridiplantae; Streptophyta; Magnoliopsida; Poales; Poaceae. The transcript is spliced from 2 exons. The record is from RefSeq and is a predicted model, not a curated record.
GGGAGCCGCCUUGAGGCCGAGGGCCUCGGAUGAUGUCCGUGUGACGCGCGCGUCGCUCUUCGCGGAGGAUUCAGGCCGAUGGAGGGCACCGCCGCACCACCGGGGUGCGUCGGGCGUAGUGGGUGUGCCUCCACCGACAGCGUUCAUAUUUGUUUUCUUCUGUUCUUGCGAUGUGUAUGGCGGCCCUUAUUGAAGGUCCCCGGAGUUGCUUGGUGCCGUUCGUCGCUUGAUGCCGAUGGGUAGUGCAGAAGCGAGCGCGGCGCGUGAGGGUGGCCUCGCCGGGCGCAAGAAUGGCGCUGAGGGCCGUCGGGCGCUCCGUGGUGUGCCACGGAUGCAAUAUGAGAACUCCGUCGCCGGACGAGCAUCGCGCGUCGGCCGUUUUGCCUCCAGAUGCGGGAGAAGAUCCCUUGGCGCCUCGCCGCCGUUACGCCGCCUCCCUAUCACUUUCUUCUCGCUUUCUAUGGCCAAAUCGCUCUCGGUUACGAGCGUGCUAAUAACGUGUUGAAUGUAAAAGUGAUUGAAUUAAGGAAAGGCUCCUGAUUUCAUUGAA